GCCAAUUGAAAGUAUAAACAAUAGAGAUACGCAAAACCUGUUUGCCAAUUCAAGGUUGAAGGGAUGAUCCACUUGUAGUAUCGAAUAAGUUAGGCAGCGGAAUGGACGGCGAUGGCUUCGGUGCAGAUGCUGCCUUCAGGGUUCUUUACUCUGAAUUCUCCGGGUAGGCAGGGUUCCUAUGCCAAAGUUUCUAUCCGUCCUUCUCUGUUCUCUUUCUUUCUUUUUUCCUCAAGGUUUUGUUCCAAGAACCCUCAGAGUGUUUUGCUUCUCUUCCUUCUCUUUCUCCAGUGAAUCUCCAGUGUAACUCCAAGUGUAACUCCCCUACUGAAACUUCAGUAUUAUAGACUAAUUUCGUGGGUAAUGGGCUUGGAAUGAGGGAGACCCAAGUCCAAAAUAAUUGUUAUAUUUAUUUAUUAUUUAUUUUAAUUAUUUAAUUAAUUAAUUAAUAAUUAAAUUAAUUAAAAAAAAAAAUUCUCUUUUUUUUUUUUUUUUUUUUUUUUUUUUUUUUAGGAAAAAUGAUGGGUAAUUUUUGGGUAUGACGAGCUGCCCCUGUUUCAAUAUUCUUGAACCGAGAGAGUUAAGAUGGCGUGUAUGCCAUUCGUGGUCUGGAGUGGAAGAUGUACUUGACACACUAGAAUCCCCAAAAAUUUGCACUGAGAAUCGACGGUUGUCUUGAUGGAGAUGGGCUUAAAGAUCCAUCCGGGAGGUUUGAUGACGAAGCUUCAGAGCGCCGCGUAAUUAGGCCAAUUUGAAGACAUGGGUGCCACACUGCGUACGUUAGACCGUAUAAUGAGUAUCCAUUAGGCUGCCCGACUUCGCUGGGCGAGUCGGAGUUGUGUCGAUAUCUGGGGAUAAAGGAAUCAGAAUGGACCAUACGCUAGAUCCGUGAAUCCGAGUUUGCAGCAAUGAGCNNNNNNNNNNNNNNNNNNNNNNNNNAAAAGAGAGAUAAGGUCCAAAUGGGUCGUACGUUAGACGCAUUGGAGUUGCUGAAGAAAAAGUCAUAAUGUUUUUGGGCUGAAUCAGAAAUGAAACCGUACGUUUAAGGCCUUGUAUCUGAUAAACCUGUAUAUGUUGUAACUUGCCCAAUAAAAAUGGUCCCUGGGAAUGGGCCUAGAGAUUGCCAUCGUUAGGGAGGAAAUAAUCGCAAGUGGGGUUGUCCAAAGAAAAUGGGGGAAUGGUUUUCCCAUGACACCUGUAUUUUGAAAAUAUGUAAUCUGAAUCUUGAAACUGUUGAAAAAUUUGAUAAAAGGUGUCUGUCUUGAAUGACACCCUUCUUACUUUGGAACUAUAUCAGGAGGAUUAAUUAACCUGCAAAAGAAAAGUUUUAAGCUUCAACAUGCUAAUGGUCAAUGAUGCAAUAAGAUGUUUCGUGUUAUGGGCUAAAAAUAAAUGUGGAAUGUUUUGUAAUGCAUGCCGUAUUGGCUGUGAAAAGGAUGUUAAUGAAUGAGUUAAUGCCGUACUGAGAAGUUUUCUUGCUUGGGGACUCUUACUUGGGAAAAUAAAUCCGCCAUCUAUUGAAUUUUGAGACAUUUGUGUCGAUGACUCCUUUCUCCGCUGAUGGGAUGCUUGAUUUCUGUCCUGAUGGUGGAAAUAUUUCAACAGAGCCUGGCUGGGGAAGGAAAUGAGAUGAAUCAAUCGUGCUGGUGAACGCCGACCUUGUGGGGAGUACUGCUUUGUGCUGGGAAUACUGCCAUUUUCUGAGGAGAAACAAAAGGCCUUGCUGGGGGAAGAGAAUUGGUAUGCGGAUUCCUUGGAAGCAUGAAUUAGACCUUUUCCUUGAUCCUGAAGUUUGGGGUAGUAAUUUGCUUAUUGCUAUGUGCUAUAAUGCAUGUUAUUUUUGGUAAACAAUCAGUCAUAUUCAAAUGCAUAUAUUAAUUAAAUUAAAUCAAACGUGGACGUUUACGCCAAACAAACAACAGAGAAAGAAAAAACCAAAGAUCUUUUGAAAGAAGGUUGUAUUGAUUUUGAAAGAAGGCUAUAAACAGGCAAUUUGUGUACAAGGAGACAGACAUUCCUAGUAAGAGGAAAAUUGUCAGAAAAACAAAGAGAAAGUUAUGUGGAAGAAGUCCUAUCGAUUUUAAGCGCUACUACUGUCAUUAAUGUCUUCGAGCAUCUCAUCCUUGCUGUCGGAUAGAAGUGAUUGGCUUGGUCGAGUCCCCUCGAACUUGGAUGAAAGUUGACUGAGAACGGGACAUAGUCCAAUACGCUUUUAAUCCCUAAUUUUGUGCCUGGACCGCCUUUUUUCAAGGUUUUUCAGUCCACCAGGAUAACCUUUUUUGGCCGCAAGCCCGGCCUUUUCAGGUUUUUCGAGCUUGCCGGGUGUACAUUUUUUUUUAUAUAUCCUAAUUUUUGGCCGCAAGCCCUUUUGGUUCGCCGGGAUGCCCUUACUUUUGCCUAUGAUACGUCCGAUCUAGCGGGUCCUCUUUUAUGCGUAGUAUUUUUUAAACUAUGUCGCGUUCACGAUGUGGGAAGUCUUCACCAUCCAUUGUAGCGAGUAUCAUGGCUUCCACCCUGAGAAUACCUUCUUAACUACAAACUGGCCCUUCGUAUGUGGGAGUCCAUUUGCCCUCUGGGGUCAGUUUGUGGUAGGAUGAUGCGUUUGAUUACAAGUCGCCAAUUUGGAACAGCUUGUCUCUUGACGCUUUUGUUGACAAUGCCCUGUGCAUGAGCGAUUCUGAUAUAUUGCCCCGUGACAUACAGCCGCAAGUCUCGUCUCAUCAUCAAAUUUAAUCUGAUCGAGUCGAGUCUGAAUCCAUUCGUCUUCGUCUAACGCCCGCCUCUUUCAUGAUCCUAUAGAGAGGGAAUCUGAACCUCUACUGGUAAAGACGGCUUCCAUCCGUAAGACUAAAGAGAAGGAGUUGCCCCGUCGAAGUUCGUACGCGAAAGUACGCUAACCAUGAAGAGCAAAUGGGUAACAUCUCUGCAGUCUUUUGUAUGUUACCGUCAUCUUUUUGUAUAAUCUUUUCUUAAAAUAUUCUUAUUAGCCCGCUUCUACAGCGGCCGUUCCAUCUUUGGCCGGUACGGAGAAGAGUUAUGGUGUUUUAUUUUGUAAACUGCGUGCAGAUGUUCAGUAAUCUAUCUUGUUGUUUCAAAUUAGUGCCAUUGUCCAUGAUAAUCCUCUCAGGGAACGCCGUUAUGCGCAGAUGAGUGCUUGUUCUUGAUAGAAUCGUGCCACCACAUCUUAGUAACAGAAGCAAAUGAGGCUGCCUCCACCCACUUGUGAAGUAAUCAAUAGCACAAGGAUGAAGCGGAUGUCGCAUUAGAGGCGGUUAGGUUUAAUUUCGGCCAAUCACAUCCAAUGCCCCACAUUGCAACAGGGCCACGGCGGCGGUCAACAAACGUUUAAUGGAGCAGGAGGCACAUGUACUUUAUCCGCAUAGAUCUGGCACUUAUGACAAGUUUCUGGAGUGUAUGGUGGCAAUCAGUUUUCCAAUGGUAGACCAAUAAUACCGCUGAACUCAGAAUCUUCUUGGCCAUUGUAUGUCACUAAGAAUGAGUCCCAAAAGAUACCGUGCGUGCAUGCUUCCAAUAAUCUUCUCUGAUUCCCUUUCAUCCACACAGCGAACGCCAAAGUCGAAAUCAUGGUUUACGUUUGUACAAUAUUCCAUUACUCCAAAAAGAAUUUAGCGGAGAACUUCUCAGAAAUUUCCUGUCAUUGAUGGAUGUCCCUUCAGGGUAUUCUUGAGCUUCUAAACAUAAUCUUUUUAUCUCGUGGUACCAAGGCUUCUCUUCUAGCUUCAUCAGGCGUUAAGUUUCAAUAACAAUAUGCUGGUUCGUCUAGUCGUUCAAUGGUAAUCCGGGGAAGGCUUCAUUGUCCAUCUGACUCUGAACGAUAGAUGACAUGGUAGCUAAUGCGUCUGCCAACAUGGUUCCUCCUGCGUGGAAAAUAUAUUCGAAUGUGAUGCUCUUCCCCAGUAUGGGAAUUAAUGUCAACACCCGUUCUCGCGAUUAAGGGAUGGAUUCCGGAUGUUUAGUGUCCCAUUCUCCUUUGACCUUGACUGAUUACCAUAGGUGGAGUCUCCGUACACCUUCAAGAACUUGAUUCUUAGGGUCUAUAGCAGCUCUGAGUCCCAAAAUAACACGCUUUCAUACUCAGCCAUUUAGUUGGUGCAUUCAAAACAUAGUCUAGCGGGAAAGGCGUAUGGCACCUUGGGGGAAAUGAUCACGACGCCAAUACCGUUGGCCCAAUGCCCGUUGCCGAUCCAUCAAGAACACCAUAGUCCCAUCGGGAUCCCCACUUCGGGGUCCCUUCCUCUGGUCCAGGUUUCUUCAUGAUCAGUAAACAGCAUGACAUGCCUCAUCUGGGAACUCAAAUUCAUAGACUGAGUAAUCCAUUCACUGCUGAAUGAGCCAAAUGAUCAGCUAGCGACGCGUUCCUUUGGAUUGCUUUUUGGGUGUAUAACUGGGGAUAUCAUACUCUGUUAAAAUCAUCUGCCAUCUGCGGCUGAUUCUUUGGUCGCGGAGGGGACGGGUUUCUCAAUAUGUAUUUGAUAGGAUCCAUCUUAGAAUCCAACAAAGUGGUGGUGAUUCAGCAGUAUACUGUCUUAGUCGCGAGCAGCGCAGGCCAAAGCACAGCAAGUUUUCUCGAGCAGUGAGUAUCUUGUUUUAACAGUCGGUAAACUUUUUGCUAAGGUAAGUAUAUGGGCAUGCUCUUUUCGACCAGACUCGUCAUGUUGCCCCAACACGCACCCCAUUGGUUUCUAAAACGGUCAAAAUGACAUGAUUAGGGAGGUCUUCCCUUCAAACAUCUGGUGGUUACCAAGAUCGGAGGUUCUUGGAAGGUACUGUUCUUGAAUAUUUGUCAAAGCUUCUUGACAUUCAUCAUUCCAUAUCAUCUCCCUGAUUUUUCUCAGUAAAAACUUGAAAGAAUGGUUUGCAAGUAGCGUCAAAUGGGAAAAUAAACCCGGGCAAUGUAAUUCAAACGUCGCCCAAAGAAACUCUCUUGACUUCUUUUAUCGUACGGGGAAGCUGGCAAUUCCUGAAUAAGCUCAUCACCGUUGGCCGGGUCAACUCAAAUAGCCUUAUACACACUGACAAUAAAGCCUCAAGAGUUUACCCGGAUGCUUACUCCCAACGGUGCAUUUGGUUCGGGUUCAAUCUGCAAUUGUAUUUCUCAGCGCUCCCUCAAAAACAAGUUUUUUUUGGUAUAAAUGAUCGAGAUGUUUCUUCCUUCAGUAUGAGAACCUGGGCUAUCAUAUCGUCCACAUAUACUUCCUAUUCAUGAUGAUUUCAUGUCAUGGAACUAACACCAUUGCAUCGCUGGUCAUUUGCUCAUGAGCGUUCUUUAACCAAACUGGCAUUACUUAUAACAGAAGGUUGCCCCUAUUGCGUCAACAACGUGUCCUCUUCCAUGUUCCUCAAGGUGCCAUUUUGAUCUGGUUAACCCAGAUCCAUCGCAUGAAGGAGAAUACCUUGUGUUGAGCGAUGUUGUCGUACCAGAACAUCAAUGUUGUGGCAGUGGGUUAAAUCAUCCUUGUGACUCGCUCUAUUGAAAUCUCUGUAAUCCACACACAUUGCGCACCUUACCAUCGCCUUCUUUGGCACUGGUAUCCCGCCGCCCUCACAUUAGCAACAUUGAGAUAAGAAAGUAAACCGCCAGAAAACCAGCAUUCGAAUUGUUUCAAUGACUUUGCCUUGAUUUUCUCUCGGACAUUUCAGGACGCAUGGGCGACGAAGGCCUUUUGCUUAACAGGACGACAAUUUCCUCGUCGGCAAACCGAUGCACUAGCUAUAAUCGGUGAUCCAGCCCUGGCAUGUCUUCGUAAGACCAAGCAAAAUCUCACAUAUCAUGUAGAAUCCUGAAUCAAUCUUUCCUUGAUACUGCUUUCCAAGCUGCCUCCUAUUUUGACCUGCUCUCUUGUCCACCUCGGUAUACCACAGAUUUACAGUCUCAACUGACUCCCUCAUGGCGGCUGUAUAGUCCUUUCUCUUGUAGUAACAGUCUGGCAGUUUCUUUUCAGUACUUCACAAUCUUCCUACUUCCAUCUUCGGCUCGUAGAUCGGAUUUUCAAAGUCAUAAUGAACAGUAUAAAGAAAAAAACCUUUUUUUUUAUUUUUUUAAAAUUUUCCCCCACCAAAGGAAUCCAGAGUGGAUAGGGAUCUGCAAUGUCGUUACGCUGCGUGUGUGUCAGAAAACAUAGCUUGUUUGAAAGAUAAUAGGAAAGACAAGAGCGCAAUAUUUGAAUGCAAAACGUCCAUUGAUUUAUUGAAUAUAAAUAUGCUUAAUGAAAAAUGACAAAACCCCUAACAAAUUAGCCAUUGUGCCUCGGGCAUAGACACAAUGCUUUAAGAAGUUUGAUUGUAAAAGAAAAUUAAAUUUGCAAUUCUAAGAAUAAACAAUAACAAUUACUCCUGACUAAGGAAAUCGGGAUAAUGUCACUCAGUCUUCCCCAAUUGUUGAGUCCGUGCACCAAUUGUUGGGAAAAAAUCAGCUAUCCAAGUGCGCAAUCACUAUCAGCAUCUUCAUAGCCAUUUAAUCUGAUUUUGACUAUCUUUCCAGAGUAAAAACCCCAGCCAGCUUUAUCAGACUUGUACGGUACAUUGACUCAGUUGACCCCAACCAGCAACGAUCACCAUUUUCAAUCGCGGCUUGAGCAUGCUUCAGAAGAGAUCAUGACAGGGGGAGCACGAACAACCUUGGGCAACAAGGGGAGUUGGCUAAGGACAGGACUGGUGGAGGAUCCACCUUCAAAUGACUGGAGAAGGAGUCUCAAAAGAAUUCACCAUCCAUCCGACGUAUUUGAAGGCUUGCACACUACUGACAAUAAUAAACUCUUCUUCUCCACAUACAGUGACAACCAUGUCCCUGCUAUUGGGAUACUUCAGCUUUUUGAUGAAGCGACGAAGCUACCGCACCUGCCCCUGGAUCAAGGGCGCCCAACAAGCAGGAGUAGCGGGAACGAAUGUCCAUCACGUGAAAGGUUAAGUGUUGAAGACUUGAGGUCCCUAUCUUGAUUAGGGAAGAACCACUUCACCAUAGACAACACUCUUCGCACCAUCGUAAGCACGCACCACAAGCAUCACUAGGUUUCAGUUCAAUUUGCUUGUAGUCAAAUUUUAAUCGAGUACAGCUUUCGGGAGCACAUUCAAGGAAGAGCCGUUGUCGAUCAACAACGUGAGCCAAGGGUGAUCCCCUCACACUCGGAUGGAAGAUAUGCAGAGCUUUAUCGUGAUUCUUUCCUCGGCGUCAGGUCAGCAUCGGAAAAAGCCUAGGCCAUUGUCAACAGUCAAUAUAGCACAACAUAAUGUCGAUUGAUCGACGGAUGUUUCUUGAGCACAGAGCGGUCCUUCACCGAAAUUUUCAUCAAUGCAUUGCAUGGAGCAGAGGAUUAAUAUCAGGGACAACAUUGAGAUUUUAGACGGAGUUGCCCGCAAAUUUUUCCACUACAUCAAAAUCGCUCUUACGGAUGAUUUUCAAGCAUCCUUCGCAUUUCCUGUUUGGCACCCUUCAGAAGUAAGCUCGAUUCGGAUGUCUCUGACUAGGGAGGAUGACUGGUCUUUUCCUCGAAUUUCGGGAGCGGAGGUGAGAUUUGCUGGGGAGUAGAUCCUUCCACUUCGAGUAACUUACUAGUCCCGCCACAAUAUCAUUAGGCAUUAGCAGAACUACCAACUUGCUUUAGCCAUGAUGUAAACGUGCGGCCCCAUAGUUCCAACCGGAAUUAGCUUUGAUGGAGGAAUAUGGCACGGGGCCAGGUGCGGUAAUAAUCAGGGGAGGGCCCACCCCCCAUUUGGGCUGCAGCGGUAAUUCUCACAGGGCAACUCUAGUAGCGGUAAUCUUCACUGACGCUUGUGGACCUAGCAAUACCAGAUAACCUCUUCAAUAGCGUUGUCCACUAGGACCUUUCAAAUAGAUAUUGUAACGAUCGAUGCCAUCAGCCGUUGGAAUGGCGUUCUUCACUUCAAACAAUCAUUGGUGCGAGUACACAGAAUGCAAUCUUCCAGGCACAACCUGGAAAUAAACGCAGCUGUGCAAUAAAUUCUUUCUAACGCAGGAGAGAUGCAAAUCAGCAACGUCAGUAACGUGAGAAUUGUCGUCACAACAUUAACAUUCUGGUCAUGAUUAGGCCAUAGGUGCUUGAUGACAUUGGGGGUCGCCGGAGGAAUCAAAUUCAAUUUCUCUCCAGCGUCGAUCAAAUCGCUGAAUCUCGUAUCAUGCCGGGCUAUGAGUGAUAGGCCACCUGGCGUUGGGGAUAUACGAGGAGAAGUCAGUGUUGGGAUUUGCAGGAAGGGCCUCUGAGGGUAAUCAAAUUGGCGCUUUAACAACUCUGCAGUGCUGGGUUAAUCAUAUUGAACUGGUAAACUGUCUUCUCGACCUGUCUUUGCUGUGUUGGAAGUCUGAGAUGGCGGUGGGCGGCAAUUGUAACUGCCCAACAUAUGGUCACGAAUUCUUCUGUAGCUUCCUCUCACUGUACACAGCAUUGAUUCACUCUUUUCCCUGAUAGGACUUUUGGUGCUUGACAGAAGUAGCUGCCUGUAUCUUCCCACUUCGAAUGCCGCUUUCCAACCUGUUCACCUGUCAAGAUAUCAGUGAAACCUGACGAGGAACUUCCCAAGUAGAUGGCUGUAGAAGUGGCCAGUCAGGUACCCAUGAACAUGUCCACUAACUCUCGAUCAGUCAUAGGGGUUUUGAACUCUGCAGCCAACAUCUCUCCCACUUUUGAGCAUAUUCUUUGAAACUUUCUUUAGAGCCCAUAGUCAUAUUUGUAGCUGUAGCCGAGUAGGCGCUAACUCAGAAUUAUACUGGUAGUGCUUGUAGAAAGCUGUUGCUAAAUCAGUCCAUGUGCGGAUGUUAGAGCUCUCAAGCUGAUAAUACCACUCUAACUGUGUGCCAGACAGACUCCUCUUGAAGAAAUGGAUCCACAGUUUCUAUCAGUAGUGUGCGGCUGAAUCUUUCUCACAUAAGCCCUUAGAUGCAUCUGAGGACAAGAGGCACCAUCAUACUUAGUGAAAAUGGGAACCUUGAAUUUGCGGGGAAUGACCACAUCAGAGACCAGACCCAAGUUUCGAAAUCCAGACCGGGCACUUUCUGCCCCUCCAUAGCUAGCAUACGUUCUUCCAGCAACUUGUACUUAUCAUCCUUCGGAGAGUACUGUUCAUGUUCAUAAUCUCAUCGUCGCUCUCAGAAUUGACGAGAUUAGGAUUCUCAUCUUCCGAAUCAUUCUCGUCUCUCUUCUGAAUCCUUCGGAAUUCUAAUCUUGACUCUGUAACUGUCCUUAAGCCUUCUCCCGGGUUGAUGUAACCCACAGGUUCUGGUCCUUCUUCUUCUCCGUCAAAGAGCUUUCAGUUCUUCCCUGCCCCUUAGAUAAGCUCAGCAUCAUUUCCUGGAUUUGAGCAUCUGGGCCUGGAGAUCUUUGACAGUUUGUUCGAGAGCCAUUGUUCAAUCUGUUUGAAUUUGUUGGAAUCUGUUUGCUAGGAAAUCGUGAGAACACUGAUCCUUGAAUACUGUUUAUGCGAUGCAAUGCAAUGUAUGAAAUGUUUUCAAGGACUUUCGGGAAUUUAACUUUGCAUAAACUACCAAAAGAGCUUUUUUUUUCUUUCUCUUUUGUUUUUGCUUUUUGUUUUUGUUUUUUUUAGCAGAGUUAAUCCCUAAAUCCUUGAAAUGGUUAUACAUGCCAUGAUGUUAUGAUGUUAUGAUGUUAUGUUGUUAGAUAAAUACAAGCACAAGCAAGUCACACAACAAUCAUUCCUAGGUUUUAAGGCUUGCGUGAGUUCCAUAGGUAAAUACCCUCCCCACUGAAGUUUGGUUGGUUCAACCUGUCUUAGAAUAGUAACCGGGUUCUAGAAGGAUCUCAAAUCAUUGACCUUUCCUUAAGUCCACUUCAGUGCAACACCAAGUGGUUGACCGAAGCUUCCCUAAAGUCCAAUCUCAAAGAGUGUAGUAUCGAGUCUCAACCAACUCCAGUCGGAACCGAAGCCAGUUAUCUCACUACUUUCUAAUGGCCAGGAUGAGUCAAUUAGGGUUCUAAAGGUCUGGUUAAUGCUUUUAUGACACCACGCACGCGAAUGCCAAAUAUUUCCUCAACUAACAUGAGGAACAUCAGGACAUCCAAAGUGCCAAAUUAACCGUAGCCAUCAUUUGACCAUUCCAGUAUACGCCGGACAGUCGCGAUGAUCUCUUGCUACUUACCUAAGGUACACUAGAUCCGGGUGUAGGAUCUUUCACUCAAGCAUAACAUACCCAAGCAACCCUUAAAAAUAAAUCAGACAAAUUGAAUAAGUGAUCUUGUUUUUAAGGUAACCUCUGUUUUUAAAUAUUCUUGACAUCCCCAGCAGAGUCGCCAGUUCUGUCAUACGGUGAACUGGACUUUUUGUGUUUUUUAUCGCAAUGUCGCGGUUAGCAAGAGUCGCCACCGACUUUUCUUUUAUCCAAUAAGGAAAGGUGGAAAGAACAGGAAAGACCUUAAUUUAGAUUUUGGGUUCGGGAGGUACAUUAUACAAAGGGAAGGUGUUAGCACCCUUUGUAUCCAUGGUUAUCCAUGGGCUCUUAAUUGCUCGAUCACUUAUAUUAUUUUUGUCUAAAAAAGUGUUUGUGAAUUGUUUGGAAAAUUGUUUUGAAAAGAGAAUUUACUUGUAAUGAUUCUUGUAUGAAGUAUACAAAGUGGUUAUCCCGUUUUAGUUUUGAAAAUUGUUUAGAAAAAUAUAACUCGGUAAUGAUUCUAGUAUGAAUGUAUACCAAAGUGGUGAUUUUCUGAAGGUAUUUGAAAGGUGUGAGGUGUGAAAAAAUGUUUUAGGUUGUGAGCCAGCAAUUAAGAGUUAUACCGACCCAAGGUCUUUAUGAGUAUUUCCUAUCCUUAUGAGGGUAAAACUGUCCUUAUUAUUGAGAAAUAAGUAGUUUAUCCUUUGGAUGUUUAAGGGUCAUCGUAGGGUCAUCGAUAGGUCAUUGAAGGCAACAGUUACGAGGAUAUCUUAGCAUUCGAAGGGACUAUCAUCUUUUAACCGUAGGCAACAUCGGAGGGUCAUCGAGGGACAAAGUUGUAUAUUCGAGGCAACAUCCGAGGGACUAUAAUUUAUUUUAUGAUGAUUUAACCGAAGGGUCUUUGCUAAGGGUAUCCCCACGUUCGCGGACAUGACCGUAAUAUCGUAAUCGUAAGGCAACAAAGAGAGGUCCAAGAUCACUUAUUCAAAGGCAAAGUUUUACAAUUAAUUAUAUAAUUAGGAUGAAACUCCACAUUAAAAUUAUUAAAAAUAAUAUAUUAAAAAAUUAAUACAUUAGAAAUUAAUACAUUAAAGUUAAUUUAGGAUGAAACUCCACAAGGGUAUCCCACAAAUAAAGUGGAAUACUAGCCAAUAACCUUUUCCUGGGAUAUGUGAACCUUUACGAAACUCAAAAAAGAAACAUGUCAGAACACCAAAUCAGGGUGCAAUCGAAGAUUACACGGAGAAAUAUCACAACAAAUAAAUAGGAUAGGAUGAAUAAUGCAUGGCUAUGAUAAAACAUAAAAAAAAACAGAAAAGAAAAGUCAGCUACUGUCUCGUUCGCCUCUGCCUCGCCUAGCGAAGGCACGGAUUUUGAAUUUGAAAACAGCCCCAUGUUAGGAACUUUGAAUUUUAUGGCAUUUUAUCACAGGAAUAACAUGGUCAAACAUUCAGGGUAUUCAGGCAUAUUUAAAUUCCCAUACGAAAGCAAAUUAUAUAUCAACAUUUAAUCAUGAUGCAUUAUAUAUGUAGAUAUGGCCAAUUGAAAGUAUAUAACAAUAGAGAUACGCAAAACCUGUUUGCCAAUUCAAGGUUGAAGGGAUUGACCACUUGUAGUAUCGGAAUAAGUUAGGCAGCGGGAAUUGGACGGCGAUGGCUUCGGUGCAGAUGGGCUGCCUUCAGGGUUUUUUACUCUGAAUUCUCCGGGUAGGCAGGGUUCCUAUGCCAAAGUUUCUAUCCGUCCUUCUCUGUUCUCUUUCUUUCUUUUUCCUCAAGGUUUUGUUCCAAGGAAACCUCAGAGUGUUUUGCUUCUCUUCCUUCUUUCUCCAGUGAAUCUCCCAGUGUAACUCCAAGUGUAACUCCCCCUACUGAAACUUCAGUAUUUAUAGACUAAUUUCGUGGGUAAUGGGCUUGGAAUGAGGGAGACCCAAGUCCAAAAUAAUUGUUAUAUUUUAUUUAUUUAUUUAUUUUAAUUAUUUAAUUAAUUAAUUAAU
Molecule: long non-coding RNA, 12128 nt
Filed under: Lathyrus oleraceus (garden pea)
Lineage: Eukaryota; Viridiplantae; Streptophyta; Magnoliopsida; Fabales; Fabaceae
Description: Pisum sativum (pea) long non-coding RNA (PSAT_LNC011970)
Source: RNAcentral